ACCCAGAGAUUAUGCACCCAAUCGAUCCACAGUUUGAUCUUCUUUUUUUACGAAUUUUACCCAGGAAUUCCCUUGCGAGUGAGUGGUUUCUUUAGUGAUUGUUUAGAGGAGAAACAACACGGUCGGGCAAUCAUCCUCUUAAAGGAAAUGCCGCGAGAGGUAGCUCUGGGCUCUCAUAAUUUAUGAAGGCUGGGUUUUAGGGCGCCACACGGCGGCUCUCUUUCAUUCCAGGGGAGAGGAGAAGGAGCGCCAAUCCAGCGCCCGGUAGGCCUUCCCACAAGCGCGCGAUCCGGGAGAAUGCGUCGGGGAUUGGCGGCGCGCAUUUAGGUAGAUCCAGGGAUGGAUCGCGCGCGCGGACAGGGUUUUAGCUAGAUAGUAGCGCAGCGUGAGAGAAUUUUGGUCUUUUGUAGCGAGCGAGCAAGAGCAAGAGCAAGAGCAAAAUGGGGAAUGGACUGGCGAGGAUGGUGUCGGGCAAAGGGAAGAAGAACUCGUCCUCUUCUUCCUCGGCCAAGAAGGACAAGGCGGCUCGGAAGGCGGCGCAGAAGAAGCAAAAGGCGCUCGAGGAGGAGCUGAUCGAGCGCCAGGUGCUGGCGUUUGCGCUGCAGCAGCAGCAGAAAUCCAUCCGGCUGGAGCGCGCCGCGUCGCAGCGCAACAAUCCCAACUUGUUCCCGGAGAAGCUCCCGCGGAGCGCCAGCACCAGGCCGCGCUCCAUCUCGGAUCCGGUCGUGCCGCCACACCAGCUCGUCAAUGGGAUCAAGCCAGGUCUCCCUGACAAUCUCGAGAGCAAGCACUUUGUGCUGGUUCACGGAGCCGGGAAUGGAGCGUGGUGCUGGUACAAAUCCAUCGCGUUGCUGGAGGAGUCUGGCUUCACUGCCUCAACCGUGGAUCUCACUGGCUCCGGCAUCGAUCACACCGAUCCAAACACAAUCUCGACGCUCUCACAGUACGUAAAGCCGCUGCUCUCGCUCCUGGAAAAGCUUCCAGACAAUGAGAAGGUGAUACUCGUUGGCCACGACUUUGGUGGCGCUUGCAUCUCCUACGCCAUGGAAGCUUUCCCCACCAAAAUCUGCAAGGCUGUUUUCGUCUCUGCGGCAAUGGUGGCGAACGGACAGAGGGCGUCCGACAUCUUUGCUCCGGAGUUAAUCACUGCAGACGAUCUUCUACCCAAGGCUCAACAGUUUGUAUACGCGAACGGUAGCUCGUCUGUUCCCACGGCUCUCGAGUUUGACAAAAGCCUGAUCAAGGAUUUGUUUUUCAACCAAAGCCCCGCAAAGGACGUAGCACUGGCGACCGUUUCUCUGAGGCCCGUGCCAUUUGCUCCAACCCUGGAGAGGCUGUGCCUAACACAGGAAAGAUAUGGUAGCGUGCGGAGAUUUUUCAUCCAGACAACCGACGAUUGCGCACUAACGCCGGCCCUCCAAGAGAGACUGAUAAGCAGCAACCCCCCCGAGAAGGUAUUUCUUCUCAAAGGCAGCGAUCACUCCCCAUUCUUCUCCAAGCCACAGUCACUCCACAAACUUUUACUCGAGAUUGCACAGAUAGAGCCACUCAAACCAUCGUCCCCUUCUCUCCCUCCUCCCCCUCCCUCGUUACAGGACACAGAAGAGCAACAACAGCGUUGAAAACAGAAAUAUCUACAUAUAGUUGUAUAUGAUCGACUCUACAACGAGUUACUAUCAUCAACCGAGAGACAAAUGUUUUGGAAGUGAAGUGACACUAUAAAACUUUUCGGUUCUCAUGGACAAUAUCAAGCUCACAAUGGCUGCAAACAAGCACACUCCAGCCAUG
RNA transcript from Selaginella moellendorffii, 1788 nucleotides. It is a transcript of the gene named putative methylesterase 14, chloroplastic, with no coding region annotated. The record is from RefSeq and is a predicted model, not a curated record. NCBI's taxonomy places the organism in Eukaryota, Viridiplantae, Streptophyta, Lycopodiopsida, Selaginellales, Selaginellaceae. The transcript has 6 exons.